RNAcentral lists this ribosomal RNA (253 nucleotides) under uncultured bacterium. RNAcentral describes it as "partial 16S ribosomal RNA". It matches the Rfam family "Bacterial small subunit ribosomal RNA", at positions 524 to 776 of the family's 1533-position model. The record is from RNAcentral.
UACGUAGGGGGCAAGCGUUGUCCGGAUUUAUUGGGCGUAAAGAGCGUGUAGGCGGUUAGGUAGGUCCGUUGUGAAAACUCGAGGCUCAACCUCGAGACGCCGAUGGAAACCAUCUAACUAGAGUCCGGAAGAGGAGAGUGGAAUUCCUGGUGUAGCGGUGAAAUGCGCAGAUAUCAGGAGGAACACCGAUGGCGAAGGCAGCUCGCUGGGACGGUACUGACGCUGAGGCGCGAAAGCGUGGGGAGCAAACAGG